GAAAUGCGAAACGUAGUGUGAAUUGCAGAUUCCGUGAAUCAUCGAGUUUUUGAACGCACAUUGCGCUUGUUGGACAUCCGACAAGCAUGUCUGUAUGAGGGUGGCAUCCAACUCGGCAGAAUAUGUCGGUGUUGAUUCAUGAAGAUCCGUGAGGAUCUUCUGAAUUGGAAUGCAAAUAGCGUGGAUAAGGUUGCUGUCCAGUGUGAUAGAAAUGUCGCUGGAAGAACAGUCUCCAACGUCCAUUGCAAAUUAAUAUUAAUUACCACCACCUCAUAUCAGAUAGGAUUACCCGCUGAACUUAA
RNAcentral lists this unclassified non-coding RNA (302 nucleotides) under uncultured fungus. RNAcentral's name for it is "sequence contains ITS1". The stretch from base 1 to 104 matches the Rfam family "5.8S ribosomal RNA", at positions 50 to 154 of the family's 154-position model. The record is from RNAcentral. Lineage: Eukaryota; Fungi.